GACGAACGCUGGCGGCGUGCUUAACACAUGCCAGUCGAACGGAAAGGCCCUGCUUUUGUGGGGUGCUCGAGUGGCGAACGGGUGAGUAACACGUGAGUAACCUGCCCUUGACUUUGGGAUAACUUCAGGAAACUGGGGCUAAUACCGGAUAGGAGCUCCUGCUGCAUGGCGGGGGUUGGAAAGUUUCGGCGGUUGGGGAUGGACUCGCGGCUUAUCAGCUUGUUGGUGGGGUAGUGGCUUACCAAGACUUUGACGGGUAGCCGGCCUGAGAGGGUGACCGGCCACAUUGGGACUGAGAUACGGCCCAGACUCCUACGGGAGGCAGCAGUGGGGAAUAUUGCACAAUGGGCGGAAGCCUGAUGCAGCAACGCCGCGUGCGGGAUGACGGCCUUCGGGUUGUAAACCGCUUUCGCCUGUGACGAAGCGUGAGUGACGGUAAUGGGUAAAGAAGCACCGGCUAACUACGUG
RNAcentral lists this ribosomal RNA (468 nucleotides) under uncultured bacterium. RNAcentral's name for it is "partial 16S ribosomal RNA". It matches the Rfam family "Bacterial small subunit ribosomal RNA", at positions 28 to 507 of the family's 1533-position model. The record is from RNAcentral.